AGCAAGGUUUCUAUUAAGCAGAAAACAAAAUAAUAAAAAAUACUAAAUUGAAAUUGUAUAAAAACAUAGGAAGUGAUGUAACAUAUUUUUGAAAACCAAAUUUGGUUUCUUACUGAAAUCCAGCACUUAAGAAAGGCGAGGAGUCGGUAUUGUGCACUUAUACCAAAAGUUUUUGCUGAAGAACUUAUUUGAAGAUUUUAGAGGGAGAAUAUGGCAUGAAAGAAUAUUUUUACGGAAGCCUUACGGAAGAGUUUCAAAACGUCAAGGCUCAAAACCUCAGGACUUACGAGAGGAUUUACCAAAUUCGAGCUGCAGUGACGGCAUGCGUAGAAGAUUUUGGUCAACCUUCUAGGGCCUCGCCCUCUAUGGAAUAUUUGGAACCACUUAGAAAUAAUAUUUAAAGACGGUGAUAUCGUUACAUAUGUAAUUCGGUAUUCACUGACUAUUUGUAUUGGCUGUAAAGGAGAUUCACAAUUUUGGAUAUUAUUUAGCUCUUUUCUACAAUAUAUACCUCAAAAUAAAUAUUAUGAUCUCAAAAAUUCUAAAGACAAAAAUAGAAAAAUUGCCACUAGAGGGUGUUUUUCGAGUGAGUCGAAUAUUCGGUUGACAUAAUCACUCGGCAGAGUCAGAGAGAUGCCACUGCCGCUAUGAAGCAGAAUGUCGAAAAAAAAUCGGAUGAGUCUAUCCGCCAUCGCCGCAACAAUUGAAGUUGUGCCCAUCCAAAGAAUAUUGAUUUGUAGUCUUAGAAAAUCCAACAUACGAAAAAAUAUAAGACGAACGACGAUAAAAGCGUUGCACAUGGUGUGAAUGGACCCAAACCGAGAUGGCGACUGAUCCUGAUGCUUGCAGUGACUACGGAACUAUGUAAAUAGAACCAUGAGUAAUGACUUUUUGUGACUGCAUUGGAGGAUGUUGAUGUGGACGAUCUUUGGUUCCAAUAAGACGGCACUACAUGGCAUACAAGCAUUUAUUUAAGGAAACUUUUGGUGGGCAUAGGCCUGUAGUAUGAUCUCUGAGAUAGUGCGCUUUAACACCGCUGGACUAUUUUUAUGAGGUUAUGUAUACGCAAAUAAGCAAUUGAAGUCUUGAAAAAUAAUAUUCGGUGCGGUAUUGCUGACAUACGGUAGCAAAUGAUGCGAAAGUGGUCGAAGAGUGGGUCCCUUAGCUGGAUUUCAUUCGCUCACCUGUUUGAAAUCAUUUUUAAAAUAUUAUAUAAAACUCUUAUGUUCAGAAUUAAGCUAAAUGUUUGGCAUUAACAAUAAAUUAU
RNAcentral lists this unclassified non-coding RNA (1267 nucleotides) under Ceratitis capitata (Mediterranean fruit fly). RNAcentral describes it as "uncharacterized LOC110118856, transcript variant X2". Lineage: Eukaryota; Metazoa; Arthropoda; Insecta; Diptera; Tephritidae. The record is from RNAcentral.